Non-coding RNA from Prunus avium (sweet cherry), 764 nucleotides. Lineage: Eukaryota; Viridiplantae; Streptophyta; Magnoliopsida; Rosales; Rosaceae. The record is from RefSeq and is a predicted model, not a curated record.
CUGGAAAAAGGUUACAUGAAUAUGCUUCUUCUGGAAAUUAUGGAGGAGCUGGGGAAGAAGAGAGUCUUCAGCAACUGAGCGUAAAAGCCGCCUCGCUAUCUUUUUCUAAUGUUUCAGCGAGGAAGAAGAUGAAGCCAAAUGGACCCAAGAUUCGGCCUCCGAAGUCGUCUAAAUCUUCUGAGCCUGUCGAAGAGGAUAUAGAGAUUGAGAUCGCUGAGGUUCUCGGGCUGAUGAAGCAAUCCAAGAGCUCCAAGGACCAGGAUAAUAUCAAAAACUCUGGUUCGCAGUUGCAGAGCACAAGGACAAGAAAGUGGAGGCUGAGAGUGCUUUAAUGGCAGUUCAGGACAGUUCGGUUUCUGAAGCUGGCGUCUUUGAAAAAAGUGACCAACCGGAAAAGAUUGAAACUUGUUCGCCGAAAUCAAACGGGGAACUGUGCAACCCGGUUCACCAUACGGGUUGUGAUGAAGGAGCAUCUGGGUCCACCAUAGAGUCGCAGAAGGAAGAUGCCAAACCAUUCAUGGAAGAGGGAAAAAGCAUCCUCCCAAAAGUGGAAUUGUCUUGGGAAGAUUUGACAGGGACAAAAGCGUGAGCAUCAAAGAAUCUUUUCUUUGUCUCUUUUUUAUUUUGAUUGAUUGUGUCACUGAGAAAUAUCCAAUUAAUGAUGCAGCCCAAAAAAAAAGAAAAAGAAAUCUGAUUAGUACUUCUCUGCAACUCUCUCCCUGCCCCAUUCCACAGCCCACCAACCCAGCACUCUAGCCACCCAA